GAAGAUAGGUUAUCCGCGUUGCCUUCGCUUUAUUUGUGACGAAUCAUACACGGUUGACCUAUUUUU
This 66-nucleotide microRNA precursor is filed under the name Mus pahari (shrew mouse). Lineage: Eukaryota; Metazoa; Chordata; Mammalia; Rodentia; Muridae. The record is from RNAcentral.